Molecule: non-coding RNA, 105 nt
Organism: Caenorhabditis elegans
Lineage: Eukaryota; Metazoa; Nematoda; Chromadorea; Rhabditida; Rhabditidae
Source: Ensembl
AAAGUGAAGGCGACACCGUAGUAGGUAUACUCGUGGGAGUCGUGUUUCCUGUUCUCGGCAUUAGUCCUUAUUGCCGCGUUUUUUUUUCCGAAUUUCGCGCUUGAA